AGCAGCCGCGGUAAUUCCAGCUCCAAUAGCGUAUAUUAAAGUUGUUGCAGUUAAAAAGCUCGUAGUUGAAUUUCGGGAUCAAUUUAUCGGUCGUGCCUACGGUAUGAACUGGUACAAUUGGUUUCUCCCUUCUGACGAAGCUCGAUGUCAUUAACUUGGUGUCGGGGGGAGUCAGGACUGUUACUUUGAAAAAAUUUAGAGUGUUUAAAGCAGGCCUUGGCUUGAAUACAUUAGCAUGGAAUAAUGAAAUAGGACGUUUGAUCCUAUUUCGUUGGUUUCUAGGAUCGACGUAAUGAUUAAUAGGGAUAGUUGGGGGCAUUAGUAUUCAAUUGUCAGAGGUGAAAUUCUUGGAUUUAUUGAAGACUAACUACUGCGAAAGCAUUUGCCAAGGAUGUUUUCAUUAAUCAAGAACGAAAGUUAGGGGAUCGAAGACGAUCAGAUACCGUCGUAGUCUUAACCAUAAACUAUGCCGACUAGGGAUCGGAUGAUGUUAAUUUUUUAAUGACUCA
This 509-nucleotide ribosomal RNA is filed under the name Glomus sp. Glo20. RNAcentral describes it as "SSU rRNA". It matches the Rfam family "Eukaryotic small subunit ribosomal RNA", at positions 569 to 1078 of the family's 1831-position model. The record is from RNAcentral. Lineage: Eukaryota; Fungi; Glomeromycota; Glomeromycetes; Glomerales; Glomeraceae.